This 468-nucleotide ribosomal RNA is filed under the name uncultured bacterium. RNAcentral's name for it is "partial 16S ribosomal RNA". It matches the Rfam family "Bacterial small subunit ribosomal RNA", at positions 28 to 507 of the family's 1533-position model. The record is from RNAcentral.
GACGACCGCUGGCGGCGUGCUUAACACAUGCAAGUCGAACGGAAAGGCCCUGCUUUUGUGGGGUGCUCGAGUGGCGAACGGGUGAGUAACACGUGAGUAACCUGCCCUUGACUUUGGGAUAACUUCAGGAAACUGGGGCUAAUACCGGAUAGGAGCUCCUGCUGCAUGGUGGGGGUUGGAAAGUUUCGGCGGUUGGGGAUGGACUCGCGGCUUAUCAGCUUGUUGGUGGGGUAGUGGCUUACCAAGGCUUUGACGGGUAGCCGGCCUGAGAGGGUGACCGGCCACAUUGGGACUGAGAUACGGCCCAGACUCCUACGGGAGGCAGCAGUGGGGAAUAUUGCACAAUGGGCGGAAGCCUGAUGCAGCAACGCCGCGUGCGGGAUGACGGCCUUCGGGUUGUAAACCGCUUUCGCCUGUGACGAAGCGCGAGUGACGGUAAUGGGUAAAGAAGCACCGGCUAACUACGUG